GUCAGGAUAGCUCAGUUGGUUGAGCAAAGGAUCCACAAUCCUCUGGUCACUAGUUCGAAUCUGGUUCCUGGCA
This 73-nucleotide transfer RNA is filed under the name Spinacia oleracea (spinach). It matches the Rfam family "tRNA". Rfam says of the family: Transfer RNA (tRNA) molecules are approximately 80 nucleotides in length. Their secondary structure includes four short double-helical elements and three loops (D, anti-codon, and T loops). Further hydrogen bonds mediate the characteristic L-shaped molecular structure. tRNAs have two regions of fundamental functional importance: the anti-codon, which is responsible for specific mRNA codon recognition, and the 3' end, to which the tRNAs corresponding amino acid is attached (by aminoacyl-tRNA synthetases). tRNAs cope with the degeneracy of the genetic code in two manners: having more than one tRNA (with a specific anti-codon) for a particular amino acid; and 'wobble' base-pairing, i.e. permitting non-standard base-pairing at the 3rd anti-codon position. The record is from Rfam by way of RNAcentral. Lineage: Eukaryota; Viridiplantae; Streptophyta; Magnoliopsida; Caryophyllales; Amaranthaceae.